UCUGAUGUUUGUCUUCACUUCAGAGAUCUGCAGUAGAGUUUAAACACUGUGUUUGUGUAUGUUUGUCAGGGGUAAAGCGUGGCUCAUUUUAUUAAAGUGAUCAAAUCAAAGCACCGACAUGAGGAUUAUUCAGAUUCAACUCUAUGUGCUCAUUUGGAGUAACGCUGCCGUGACUUUAGAUCGACUAACAGAUUUGGGACAAGAUGUGACUAUAAACUGUGAUCUGGAUACGAAUGAGGUUUAUUGGGUUUUACUGAAACAAUCAGAUUCCAUUACAAUAUUACUGCAGUCGCUCUCAGUCACAAAUGUAGUUUUUCACUUUAAUACGACAUUUAAAAACAAAUAUUCAAUAGAGUCUAAACAUCGUCUGGUCAUAAAAGAUGUUACUGUAAAUGAGUUAGGAGUUUAUUACUGUAUGAAGACGGGCAUGUCUCCAAAACUCAGUACCAUCACAAGACUGCACAUCAUCGGUAAGCCAUCGGGUCAAACUUAUGUUGAUUUAUGACCCUGUUAUUUAUGACCCUGUGAGCUAAAUUAUCUUUUGUGUAUUUAAAGUAUUGCAUAAACUCUUACAUAAUGUAAAUAACAUAUAUAACCUGAAAGAUUGAAUCAAAGAUUGAUAACUUUGUGGUUAAAAUGAAACUUUUGCGUGGAUUUCAAACACAUGGUCACAUUUAGACACUUGUGUUUGAUCUGUAAAAAUGCAGUCAGUUAAAAUACACAAAGUAAGCAUGUUGGCAAUCAAAGUCUUUACAUGCCUUUCUGAUAAACAUCUUUCUCACAGAGCCGACUCAACGAACUAAUUUAUCAAAUUGUGUAAAUCGGACUUCUGAGAACAAUGAAAUGAAACAGAAGAAUGAAGCACAAUGGUUCAUUAUCAUCAUUAUAUCUGGAUUACUGAAGGGUCUUCUGAUCAUUGCUAUGGUUAUUGGAGGUGUUUGUUAUUCUGGAGAAUAACACCGCAGUGAGCUUUUCCAC
Molecule: non-coding RNA, 978 nt
Organism: Misgurnus anguillicaudatus (oriental weatherfish)
Lineage: Eukaryota; Metazoa; Chordata; Actinopteri; Cypriniformes; Cobitidae
Source: RefSeq, a predicted model, not a curated record